This is a long non-coding RNA of Symphalangus syndactylus (siamang), 2013 nucleotides long. RefSeq lists it as uncharacterized. The record is from RefSeq and is a predicted model, not a curated record. NCBI's taxonomy places the organism in Eukaryota, Metazoa, Chordata, Mammalia, Primates, Hylobatidae.
GCAGGACUCAAGAGCGGGAGCCACGACUCCAUGUGCCCAAACAUGGGGAUGGGCAGCCGCCGGGCCCCUCUGUCUCGCGAAGUUUCUCAGGACCCUGGGCUUUGCCACGGUCUCAGUCCUUCUCAACGUCUCCCUCGCUUAAUGCGCCUUCUUUCUUUUUCCUGUCCCUUCAAGAAUUAGAGUGGUCCUUUAAUUCUUUUUAUUUCCUCUCUUUUCGAUUUCCUUCUUUUGCGUCCAUCCUUCCUGCUUUCCUUCUUCCUCUCCCUCUUUUUAAAAUUGCAUUACUGUCAUACCUGGUUUCCCUGCAGUUCUUGGGUGGAGUUCGAGGACCCUCCCUGGUGGAAGGCGUUUGUGUUCUCCCAAAAGAGGAGCCCUUCAGACAGAGGCUUCAGAGCUCAGCGUGGCGCCGACGGGACCACCUUUCCCUUCUCACCUCUUUUCCUCUCCACCUUUCAGGAAACUACUAUCUAUCCAUCUAUCAUCUGUGUACGAGGAGAAGGAGGAGGAGGAGGAAAAUGAGAAUCCACGCAAAGUUUUCCAAGCUCCCUGAAGUGGUAAAUCUUUUCUUCAACCUUGCUUUGACUGAUGCAUUCGGUUUUGUGGGAAUUUUGGCUCCCACAAGCUGCUUGCUAAAGGGCCUCGUCCCCAUUCCUGUUAAAUAUAGUCAAGGGCAAGAUGCUCAACAUUUGAUUCCCAAAGGGCUCAGCAUAGCAACCUUCCUUUGGGGCCAUCCCGGCUGGGCAGCAAAGAGAUCGCGUGGGAGGGAUGCGGGGACUGGAAUCUGUACAAGGGUCGCUCCCUGCUACCCGGAUCCCGGCCCCCUUCGGACCCUUCCGCAGAGAGAAACAGGAAAAUGCCUUCAGAGACCUGUGAGCGCCAGGGUAUUGGCUGGGUAUAUGACGCCUCUGGGUUAUCCCACAGCAUUUUCACCGGCCCAACCCCAACUCAGCCAGGGGAGGGGAGCCCCAUCAGAGAUGGGCAAUGGGACAGGUGAUGGUGAGCGCUGUGAAGAGACAUGUGGAGAAACAGUAGAGAAAAAAGGCUGAGAGUCUGCUCCUGCUACAAAGACUGCCCUGAUUCUGCUUAUCCCGGCACCAUCUUUGCACUUUCAGGCACUUAGAUUGCUGCUUUGGGUACCAGUCUUAGAAAUAUGGCCUCCUUCCUGUCCUAGAACUUUCUAAGGCCCAACUUUCUAAAACACUGGCAGCCCUAAUGCCAGAGUGGCUUCUAGUUCUUUAGCUUAGCUAAGCAUAGAGGAAGACCCCUGGUUUUAGGAACAGACAGAUUGAGGGCUGAAUUCCAGCUCUGCUACUUUCUAGCUGUAUUUUUUAGACAAGCCACUUAACUGCUCUGAUUAUCAUUUUCCUCACCUAUACAAUGUAGUAGGCACUCUGCAAAGAGUGGCUGUUUUUAUCAUGCUUAGCCCCAUGUACAAGCUUCAGAUGAAUAAGAGCCUGAUAUUUCUUUUAUUUAGAGACAGGCACUCGGGGACCCAGUGAAAAGAGCCCUCACUCCCAGGAAUUAAUAGUGAGGCCCCUCCCAGUCCAGCCACAUGGCUGCUCAGGUGAAGACUCUAGAGCAGAUUCGGCAGCAAGGAAGGGUAUUUACGGAGAUCCACAGACAAGCCGGGGCCUGAGGGCACUGGCCAUGGAGAGAGACAGGCCCAGAGAGGGCCUCAUCUUCUGGAAUAACAGAGAAUGGAUACAGGAAGAGGAAGAUUAUUCAAAUAUUUCUUGGUUGGGCACAUCAAUAGCUGAGAGACUCCUCUGACCAUGGCCAGCCUCAGGAAGUGAGUGUCAACAGCCUUGCAGAUGGAAACUCAACUCCUGAGUACCCAUGCCUGAAAAGACGUAAGUCCUGCUCCCACCGGCACCAGACCCCCUGCCCUCCCUCUACCCCAAUACUAGAACUCCAGACCUCACCCCUCCUCCCCAGAGACAUAUCAACAGGAAGUUAAGUGAGCUGGAACACUUUGUUCCCUUGACAUUUCUGUUUUAAUUCUGCAGCUGCGUU